UCGAGAAUUUUUCUCAAUGGGCGAAAGCCUGAAGGAGCGACGCCGCGUGGGGGAUGAAGGGCUUCGGUCCGUAAACCCCUGUCAUUUGCGAACAAACCUUGAUGUUGAACAUUCAUCAAGCUGAUUGUAGCGAAAGAGGAAGGGACGGCUAACUCUGUGCCAGCAGCCGCGGUAAUACAGAGGUCCCGAGCGUUGUUCGGAUUCACUGGGCGUAAAGGGUGCGCAGGUGGGCUGGUAAGUUUGAUGUGAAAGCCCCGGGCUUAACCCGGGAAUGGCAUUGAAUACUACUGGUCUGGAGGAUUGGAGGGGGGACUGGAAUUCUUGGUGUAGCAGUGAAAUGCGUAGAUAUCAAGAGGAACACCAGUGGCGAAGGCGAGUCCCUGGACAAUACCUGACACUGAGGCACGAAAGCCAAGGGAGCAAACAGGAUUAGAUACCCCCGUAGUCC
This 448-nucleotide ribosomal RNA is filed under the name uncultured bacterium. RNAcentral's name for it is "bacterial SSU rRNA". It matches the Rfam family "Bacterial small subunit ribosomal RNA", at positions 355 to 796 of the family's 1533-position model. The record is from RNAcentral.